CCUACGGGACGCAGCAGUGGGGGAUAUUGCACAAUGGGGGAAACCCUGAUGCAGCGACGCCGCGUGAGCGAUGAAGUAUUUCGGUAUGUAAAGCUCUAUCAGCAGGGAAGAAAAUGACGGUACCUGACUAAGAAGCCCCGGCUAACUACGUGCCAGCAGCCGCGGUAAUACGUAGGGGGCAAGCGUUAUCCGGAUUUACUGGGUGUAAAGGGAGCGUAGACGGCAGUGCAAGUCUGAAGUGAAAGCCCGGGGCUCAACUCCGGGACUGCUUUUGAAACUGUGUUGCUAGAUUGCAGGAGAGGUAA
RNAcentral lists this ribosomal RNA (305 nucleotides) under uncultured bacterium. RNAcentral describes it as "bacterial SSU rRNA". It matches the Rfam family "Bacterial small subunit ribosomal RNA", at positions 338 to 660 of the family's 1533-position model. The record is from RNAcentral.